This 58-nucleotide ribosomal RNA is filed under the name uncultured fungus. RNAcentral describes it as "partial 28S ribosomal RNA". Lineage: Eukaryota; Fungi. The record is from RNAcentral.
UUGACCUCAGAUCAGGUAGGAAGACCGCCUGAACUUAAGCAUAUCAAUAAGCGGAGGA